This 301-nucleotide ribosomal RNA is filed under the name uncultured Glomeromycotina. RNAcentral's name for it is "eukaryotic LSU rRNA". The record is from RNAcentral. Lineage: Eukaryota; Fungi; Glomeromycota.
UUGAAAGGGAAACGAUUGAAGUGUGUCAUGCCGGGGGAAAAUCACCUCAUGGGACACUAUGAUUGCACUUUUUCUCAUGGCCGGUCAAAAUUAGUUUAUGUUGGGUCAUAAUUAUUGUAGGAAGGUGACUCCUUCGGGAGUGUUGAUCAUACUUAUAAUGGACGGAUUUACACUUCGGAUUGCAACCAAAGCCUUUAGGCUACAGUCCUUUCUCUGUAAGUCGUUAAUUGGUUGUCAGCUUGCUGACUUCUAGUUAAUUGGCUGACAGUAAGGUAUAAACUGAUAAAUUCUUUAAGGAUGU